CGAGUGGCGGACGGGUGAGUAAUGUCUGGGAAACUGCCUGAUGGAGGGGGAUAACUACUGGAAACGGUAGCUAAUACCGCAUAACGUCGCAAGACCAAAGAGGGGGACCUUCGGGCCUCUUGCCAUCAGAUGUGCCCAGAUGGGAUUAGCUAGUAGGUGGGGUAACGGCUCACCUAGGCGACGAUCCCUAGCUGGUCUGAGAGGAUGACCAGCCACACUGGAACUGAGACACGGUCCAGACUCCUACGGGAGGCAGCAGUGGGGAAUAUUGCACAAUGGGCGCAAGCCUGAUGCAGCCAUGCCGCGUGUAUGAAGAAGGCCUUCGGGUUGUAAAGUACUUUCAGCGGGGAGGAAGGUGUUGUGGUUAAUAACCGCAGCAAUUGACGUUACCCGCAGAAGAAGCACCGGCUAACUCCGUGCCAGCAGCCGCGGUAAUACGGAGGGUGCAAGCGUUAAUCGGAAUUACUGGGCGUAAAGCGCACGCAGGCGGUCUGUCAAGUCGGAUGUGAAAUCCCCGGGCUCAACCUGGGAACUGCAUUCGAAACUGGCAGGCUAGAGUCUUGUAGAGGGGGGUAGAAUUCCAGGUGUAGCGGUGAAAUGCGUAGAGAUCUGGAGGAAUACCGGUGGCGAAGGCGGCCCCUGGACAAAGACUGACGCUCAGGUGCGAAAGCGUGGGGAGCAAACAGGAUUAGAUAGCCUGGUAGUCCACGCCGUAAACGAUGUCGACUUGGAGGUUGUGCCCUUGAGGCGUGGCUUCCGGAGCUAACGCGUUAAGUCGACCGCCUGGGGAGUACGGCCGCAAGGUUAAAACUCAAAUGAAUUGACGGGGGCCCGCACAAGCGGUGGAGCAUGUGGUUUAAUUCGAUGCAACGCGAAGAACCUUACCUACUCUUGACAUCCAGAGAACUUUCCAGAGAUGGAUUGGUGCCUUCGGGAACUCUGAGACAGGUGCUGCAUGGCUGUCGUCAGCUCGUGUUGUGAAAUGUUGGGUUAAGUCCCGCAACGAGCGCAACCCUUAUCCUUUGUUGCCAGCGGUUAGGCCGGGAACUCAAAGGAGACUGCCAGUGAUAAACUGGAGGAAGGUGGGGAUGACGUCAAGUCAUCAUGGCCCUUACGAGUAGGGCUACACACGUGCUACAAUGGCGCAUACAAAGAGAAGCGACCUCGCGAGAGCAAGCGGACCUCAUAAAGUGCGUCGUAGUCCGGAUUGGAGUCUGCAACUCGACUCCAUGA
This 1233-nucleotide ribosomal RNA is filed under the name Enterobacter cloacae. RNAcentral's name for it is "bacterial SSU rRNA". It matches the Rfam family "Bacterial small subunit ribosomal RNA", at positions 92 to 1323 of the family's 1533-position model. Lineage: Bacteria; Pseudomonadati; Pseudomonadota; Gammaproteobacteria; Enterobacterales; Enterobacteriaceae. The record is from RNAcentral.